This 496-nucleotide ribosomal RNA is filed under the name uncultured bacterium. RNAcentral describes it as "partial 16S ribosomal RNA". It matches the Rfam family "Bacterial small subunit ribosomal RNA", at positions 28 to 507 of the family's 1533-position model. The record is from RNAcentral.
GAUGAACGCUGGCGGCGUGCCUAAUACAUGCAAGUCGAGCGCAGAGGGGAGGUACUUGUACCUAUUGGGUUAGCGGCGGACGGGUGAGUAACGCGUGGAGAAUCUGCCUUUAAGCGUGGGACAACAUCUGGAAACGAAUGCUAAUACCGCAUAAUAUCUUUAAACACACGUUUUAAUAUUGAAAGACGCAAUUGCAUUCCCCAAUAAAGAUACCGCGUGGCCUUAGCCAAUUGGUAAGGGAAAGGCUCACCAAGGCGAUCGUACGUAGCCGCCCUGAGAGGGUGAUCGCCCAAACUGGAACUGGGCAACGGUCCAGACUCCUACGGGAGGCACCAUUGGGGAAUUUUCGGCAAUGGGCGAAGGCCUGCCGGAGUAACGCCGCGUGGGUGAGGAAGGUCUUCGGUUCGAAAAACCCGUUUAUAGGGGAGGACCAUGUUUGUAGUGGAAUGCUCACGACUUGACGGUAACUACUCAGAAAGCCACGGCUAACUACGUG